RNAcentral lists this long non-coding RNA (1502 nucleotides) under Numida meleagris (helmeted guineafowl). RNAcentral's name for it is "lncRNA (ENSNMEG00000016673.1)". Lineage: Eukaryota; Metazoa; Chordata; Aves; Galliformes; Numididae. The record is from RNAcentral.
AUGCCCUUAAAAACCGCUCUGAACGCAUCAAUCUCUUGGAUCUACAGCUUUUUGAAAAGGUCUGUCAUUUCAGUCAAGGAGCUAUUUAUAGAGCUCACCUGCAACGUGCACUGUACUAGGCAAGAACAUGCAGCAGUAUCCUACUUCUGCCAGGUGUCCAAGAUAACUAUGUCUAUGAAGAACACAUGCUUUUGCCCCCUGCGUUAGACUUCCAAGACUUGCUAAGCCCUAAAACAGUAUGUACAAGGGCAGUUCACGAUAGUUGCCGUGAGCCCUUGUGGGAUUAUAAAGUACAAGUUGGAAACACGUUAAGCAGUAAGCAGCAGUGUUAAGUCUGACUCUCAUUGCCAAUAGCCUGAAUUGUGCAGAUUGCCUAACGCAGCACACUAGGUGUUCACAAGUUGUCCUACAUCAGCCAAUAGCUGCUGAAGCUUAAGCCAAGUCCAUGAAAUGGUUUACGCGCUGUGAGGAGAGACUGAGCCAUGGGCUAAGAAGUUUCCCACUUAUGAAGAGUCAUUAAGUAUCUGAAUUCAAGUUGAGUGCUAUAAACAGGAGUAAGCUAGUUAUCCUUCCAUGACUAGUUCUGUGAAGCUUUCUGUUUGCUUAUUAAGCUACUAAGUAGUCAGAGGCAUGCACGCGUGUUUUAAUGACUCAGAACUCCCGUGGAUAGGAGCUGACUUUUUAAACGGUGUAGUUAUUUUUUAUAGUUAAGCCAUCGUUGUUCAGUAUUGUUUGUCGAGUCUGUAUUUUGAAAAUACAAUAGUUCAAUUUAAAAAGAAACACAUGCAUUUAGUUUAGGCUCAACGAUACAAUUUGUCCCACUUUUUGAAAAACCACGUGGUCCUUGUGCUACAGAAAUAUGGUCUGAACCUGAAGAUUGAAACCUAAAGCUGGAAGCACUGCAACAGAUUCCCAUGGAGUUUGUCACCCUUUUAUAGUUUAAGAUAAAUACAAAGGAAAGCAAUUGAACUGUUUUUUUUUUCUUUUUUUUCUUUAAGUCUGACAAAGGCCUCGAGUGAAAGUCUAUAGCUUUAGCAUCCAUUCUCACCUUGACCUAUCUAUGUCUCAUCUACUCAAUACUCAACUGCCUGCCUAAACCACAGGUAGGCUUUGACACCAUUUUAACGUUACAAUAAGCCAACAAGUUGGCAAAAAAGAAUACAGAGGUAAUACAGUUAAGUUGCACAUGGCCACUGGGGCUUGGUCAAGCCAGCUGGCAUUUUUGAUCACUUGAGUUUCUUGGUCUAAAAUUUGUGAUUGGUACCUACAGUUCUGCAAGAGUCCCAAUCCACAAAAUAUUUAAGCUUUAAAAAAAAAAAAGCAACUUUUAUUGUCAGUUCUAUCUAAACAUGUCAAGAAAAAUACUAUUUGUGCUCUAGGUCACUUUAUAAUCCUAGAUACCUACUAGCUUAUCUAAAAGCCCCUGAAUACUGUAUUUUGUCUGUUCAUACAGACAAACACUGUUUUGCUCAAGCAAAUAAAAAUUAUAUCCACUAGUAACA